Molecule: ribosomal RNA, 245 nt
Filed under: uncultured bacterium
Lineage: Bacteria
Description: partial 16S ribosomal RNA
Rfam family: Bacterial small subunit ribosomal RNA
Source: RNAcentral
UACGUAGGUGGCAAGCGUUGUCCGGAAUUACUGGGUGUAAAGGGCGUGUAGGCGGGAUCUUAAGUCAGAUGUGAAAUUCCACGGCUCAACUGUGGCGCUGCAUCUGAAACUAAGAUUCUUGAGUGCUGGAGAGGAAAGCGGAAUUCCUAGUGUAGCGGUGAAAUGCGUAGAUAUUAGGAGGAACACCAGUGGCGAAGGCGGCUUUCUGGACAGUAACUGACGCUGAGGCGCGAAAGCGUGGGGAG